UGGCGACCGGCGCACGGGUGAGUAACACGUAUCCAACCUGCCGAUGACUCGGGGAUAGCCUUUCGAAAGAAAGAUUAAUACCCGAUGGCAUAGUUCUUCCGCAUGGUAGAACUAUUAAAGAAUUUCGGUCAUCGAUGGGGAUGCGUUCCAUUAGGUUGUUGGCGGGGUAACGGCCCACCAAGCCUUCGAUGGAUAGAGGUUCUGAGAGGAAGGUCCCCCACAUUGGAACUGAGACACGGUCCAAACUCCUACGGGAGGCAGCAUG
Molecule: ribosomal RNA, 265 nt
Filed under: uncultured bacterium
Lineage: Bacteria
Description: partial 16S ribosomal RNA
Rfam family: Bacterial small subunit ribosomal RNA
Source: RNAcentral